This is a long non-coding RNA of Haemorhous mexicanus (house finch), 2286 nucleotides long. RefSeq lists it as uncharacterized. The record is from RefSeq and is a predicted model, not a curated record. The transcript is spliced from 2 exons. NCBI's taxonomy places the organism in Eukaryota, Metazoa, Chordata, Aves, Passeriformes, Fringillidae.
GGUAACUCCUAAGUGGUAAAGCUGGCCUAAUUAGUCUGUUUAAUCUUCUCCCAUAAAUCACUCCUCCCCAUCCCCUGCAGACUAUCGGCAGCAUCUGAAGUCAUUAGUUAAUUUAAACCUGGGAGUUCACACGUUGGCUUAUCGGAGCCAUCUCCUUUCCCCGCUAAGCGCUUGCUCGGUGCAUCCCCGGCUGCUGCCGAUCCGAUCUGCGCCCGCUUUGAAGCCGUGAUGGGCUGCCAGCAGGCGAGGUGCCGCCUGCUCCCCUGCCUGCUUCUCUGCCUGCUGGCAGGUGGGAGGGGAGAUGGAGAUCCUGCGUCUCCCCUUCCCCGCGCUCCCCGUUUUUUGAACUUCUCUGACUCAUCCAUUUGAUUUGAUGUUUUCACCUUUGUUUUACAAAUAGCAGUUUGCCUGAAUGCUGGAAGGAGAAGGCAGCUCCGAUGCUGCUGCAGCUUCCCCGGCUGCCAGGGGAAGUAAUAGAAUCUUAGAAUCAUCCAGGUUGGAAAAGAUCACCUGUAAGACCGUCAAGUCAGGUCUUCAUGUGUUUGUUCAUGAAAUGAAAGACGGCUGGGUGAGCCUGCUUUCUACUCCUCUGGCCUGCCUUCUGCAGCCCACAGGGGAUCUUUCCAUCUCGGGAUGAGGCCUCCCCUCAUGUCUCACAGGCACCCAAACACGGCCUGAGUGGGGACACAUCCUGGCCAGAUGUCAAACCUGUGCCCUGGCUGCGAGGGUGACGCGGGGCAAGGCGCUGGUACAAGCCCGUGCACUCGCAGGCACCACGGACCGUGCUGGGUACAGCACCGGGGGACACGGACCCUGUCCGGGUGUGCUCGGGUUGUCCCCUGUCCCCAGGCUGCCGCUCCCCUGCUGCCGUGGCCGGAAGACAUGAGCAGCUCUCGAUUAAAGGAUAUUUCAAGCAGACGGAGGGGCUGCGCCAGCCGGGGGAACGCGCAGCAGGAAGGGACGGGGACAGGACUGAGAGACCAGAGGAGAAGACAAUUUACACUGGAAUGUAAAUACAGCAGCAGCACGCUGCUCCGCAGGGCGUGUCACCCCCCUCCUGGCUCUGGAACACGGGUUAGAGCUGCCCAGGACGGCUCAGACCACAUCCCUGCCGUGCCAGAACCUGCAUCUCACCUGGGCACCGCGCAGAGGUGAGGAGGAGGAGGAGGGUCAGGGGCUGAUGCAGCCGCCUGGUGCCACUGCUGCUGUUCCUGCCGUCCGCGCUGAGGCACCGCAGAUUACACAUCCACUGCAGAGGGAUGGAGCCCCAGCCCUCCCUAAUAAUCCUAAGAAUCAAUAGCAGUGUCAUGGAUGCGUGGAACAACAGCUCCGAGUUGAGAGGGAACUUCUCAGCAGGAUUAACUCUGAAACCCAGUGACAACACUUCAAGUAUCUGUGCUAUCCCUGUCCCUGCUGCUCCUUCCAGCAGAUAGUUCUUACUAAUGAGCUUUACUCAACAGCACUAGAUUUGUCCGUAAAAGCAAAUUCCAGGGAUCAAAAAAUAAGGUUUAAGAUGCAAAUAUUCUGUGAGAUAUCGAGAUUUAAAUGAUUUUGGUGGGGUUUUUUGUUUUUUUUUUCCUUUUGGUCCUUACUCCAGGGAUAAUUUUUAAAGGAAGCAAGGAGAGAUCCUCUGGAAUGUGAGAGAGAGAACAUUUUUUAGAAGAAAAGACCAAAUAACAUAAAAUCAUUGUUUUGGUUUGGGUUGGUUUGGGGCUUUUUUAGCUUAUAACCAUGGAAUUUGGAAAAGUUCCCUUCUGUUCACCCAGGGCAGUGUAAGCACAGAUGUCCCCACAUGGGGCACAGGUUGGGCUCAUCCCCUCCUCUCCAGUCACAGAAUAUCAGUGGAGAAGCCAUGGGCAUGUGGGUGGGUGCCAGGACUGGUGGCACAGGGUGAAACCCAGCCAGCCACCUCACUGCCCAGAGCGAAGAAAGCUCAGCAGAUGAGUGGUCUGUGGCAGGUGACAAAGAGACUCAAAAAAGUCCCUUUUUAAAAUGUCCAGCCCAUGCUGGUAGUGGGCUCCUCCUCUGUCCUGAGGCUGGACCGCAGUGCAAGGACCUGAUCUCAGACACAGAUGCUGGGAGAAUUCACACCCCAAGACAGGUUGUUUUUUAGUUUUCUUUAAUCUUCCACAUAGCUUUUUUUUCUUUUCAUUUUGAGGCAGGAGUACUAACUGCUAAGGAUGCAUAUGGAAUUUGAAUAUGAAUGAUAAGAACAGCUGUGUAUAUCUAUUAUGAAUGAACAUAAACAGAAAUGUAUAAACUGAGAUUUUGGGGCUUUUGGAAGAA